GAAGGGAGUCUUCGGAGAAAUUUAUCUUGAAAAUAAAAAGAGAGUGUUCGACCCACUCACCCUUCU
Molecule: transfer RNA, 66 nt
Filed under: Echyridella menziesii
Lineage: Eukaryota; Metazoa; Mollusca; Bivalvia; Unionida; Hyriidae
Description: tRNA-Ser
Source: RNAcentral